GACGAACGCUGGCGGCGUGCCUAAUACAUGCAAGUUGAGCGAUGAAGAUUGGUGCUUGCACCAAUUUGAAGAGCAGCGAACGGGUGAGUAACGCGUGGGGAAUCUGCCUUUGAGCGGGGGACAACAUUUGGAAACGAAUGCUAAUACCGCAUAACAACUUUAAACAUAAGUUUUAAGUUUGAAAGAUGCAAUUGCAUCACUCAAAGAUGAUCCCGCGUUGUAUUAGCUAGUUGGUGAGGUAAAGGCUCACCAAGGCGAUGAUACAUAGCCGACUUGAGAGGGUGAUCGGCCACAUUGGGACUGAGACACGGCCCAAACUCCUACGGGAGGCAGCAGUAGGGAAUCUUCGGCAAUGGACGAAAGUCUGACCGAGCAACGCCGCGGGAGUGAAGAAGGGUUUCGGAUCGUAAAACUCUGUUGGUAGAGAAGAACGUUGGUGAGAGUGGAAAGCUCAUCAAGUGACGGUAACUACCCAGAAAGGGACGGCUAACUACGUG
RNAcentral lists this ribosomal RNA (497 nucleotides) under uncultured bacterium. RNAcentral's name for it is "partial 16S ribosomal RNA". It matches the Rfam family "Bacterial small subunit ribosomal RNA", at positions 28 to 507 of the family's 1533-position model. The record is from RNAcentral.